UGGGAAAGAAGCAACUUCAGGAUGAGGUC
This 29-nucleotide non-coding RNA is filed under the name Macaca fascicularis (crab-eating macaque). RNAcentral also lists the same sequence under 1 other name. The record is from RNAcentral. Lineage: Eukaryota; Metazoa; Chordata; Mammalia; Primates; Cercopithecidae.